CCUACGGCGGCUGCAGUGGGGAAUAUUGGACAAUGGGCGAAAGUCUGAUCCAGCCAUGCCGCGUGUGUGAAGAAGGCCUUCGGGUUGUAAAGCACUUUCAGUGGGGAAGAAAGCCUUGGGGCUAAUACCCUCGAGGAAGGACAUCACCCACAGAAGAAGCACCGGCUAACUCCGUGCCAGCAGCCGCGGUAAUACGGAGGGUGCGAGCGUUAAUCGGAAUUACUGGGCGUAAAGCGCGCGUAGGCGGUCUGAUAAGCCGGUUGUGAAAGCCCCGGGCUCAACCUGGGAACGGCAUCCGGAACUGUCAGGCUAGAGUGCAGGAGAGGAAGGUAGAAUUCCCGGUGUAGCGGUGAAAUGCGUAGAGAUCGGGAGGAAUACCAGUGGCGAAGGCGGCCUUCUGGACUGACACUGACGCUGAGGUGCGAAAGCGUGGGUAGCAAACAGGAUUAGAUACCCGUGUAGUC
RNAcentral lists this ribosomal RNA (464 nucleotides) under Vreelandella stevensii. RNAcentral describes it as "partial 16S ribosomal RNA". It matches the Rfam family "Bacterial small subunit ribosomal RNA", at positions 338 to 795 of the family's 1533-position model. Lineage: Bacteria; Pseudomonadati; Pseudomonadota; Gammaproteobacteria; Oceanospirillales; Halomonadaceae. The record is from RNAcentral.